Molecule: unclassified non-coding RNA, 169 nt
Filed under: uncultured Sordariomycetes
Lineage: Eukaryota; Fungi; Ascomycota; Sordariomycetes
Description: sequence contains ITS1
Source: RNAcentral
AAAAUAGGGCACUUAUGCGCUAUACACCACUGUAAACAUACACUGUCUCGUUGCCUCGGCGGGCGGCUCCCGGGGGAGCCCUCCUGGCCAUCGCGGUGCUCGCCGGCAGCGACCCUUCUCUACUCUGAACGUCUCCUCUGAGUGGCACGCUGAAAAGCAAAAAUUAUCA